This 460-nucleotide ribosomal RNA is filed under the name uncultured bacterium. RNAcentral's name for it is "partial 16S ribosomal RNA". It matches the Rfam family "Bacterial small subunit ribosomal RNA", at positions 338 to 795 of the family's 1533-position model. The record is from RNAcentral.
CCUACGGGAGGCAGCAGUGAGGAAUAUUGGUCAAUGGACGAGAGUCUGAACCAGCCAAGUAGCGUGAAGGAUGACUGCCCUAUGGGUUGUAAACUUCUUUUAUAUGGGAAUAAAAUGUUCCACGUGUGGGCCUUUGUAUGUACCCUAUGAAUAAGGAUCGGCUAACUCCGUGCCAGCAGCCGCGGUAAUACGGAGGAUCCGAGCGUUAUCCGGAUUUCUUGGGUUUAAAGGGAGCGUAGGUGGAUUGUUAAGUCAGGUGUGAAAGUUUGCGGCUCAACCGUAAAAUUGCAGUUGAAACUGGCAGUCUUGAGUGCAGUAGAGGUGGGCGGAAUUCGUGGUGUAGCGGUGAAAUGCUUAGAUAUCACGAAGAACUCCGAUGGCGAAGGCAGCUCACUGGACUGUAACUGACACUGAGGCUCGAAAGUGUGGGUAUCAAACAGGAUUAGAUACCCUUGUAGUC